Molecule: ribosomal RNA, 786 nt
Filed under: uncultured Crater Lake bacterium CL120-116
Lineage: Bacteria
Description: bacterial SSU rRNA
Rfam family: Bacterial small subunit ribosomal RNA
Source: RNAcentral
UGAACGCUGGCGGAAUGCUUUACACAUGCAAGUCGAACGGUAGAGGGGGCAACCCCUUGAGAGUGGCGAACGGGUGAGUAAUGUAUCGGAACGUGCCCAGUCGUGGGGGAUAACGUAGUGAAAACUACGCUAAUACCGCAUACGAUCUAUGGAUGAAAGCGGGGGAUCGCAAGACCUCGCGCGAUUGGAGCGGCCGAUAUCAGAUUAGGUAGUUGGUGGGGUAAAGGCUCACCAAGCCAACGAUCUGUAGCUGGUCUGAGAGGACGACCAGCCACACUGGAACUGAGACACGGUCCAGACUCCUACGGGAGGCAGCAGUGGGGAAUUUUGGACAAUGGACGCAAGUCUGAUCCAGCCAUUCCGCGUGCAGGACGAAGGCCUUCGGGUUGUAAACUGCUUUUGUACGGAACGAAAAAGCUCUUAUUAAUACUAGGAGUCCAUGACGGUACCGUAAGAAUAAGCACCGGCUAACUACGUGCCAGCAGCCGCGGUAAUACGUAGGGUGCAAGCGUUAAUCGGAAUUACUGGGCGUAAAGCGUGCGCAGGCGGUUAUAUAAGACAGAUGUGAAAUCCCCGACUUAACUUGGGAACUGCAUUUGUGACUGCAUAGCUAGAGUACGGCAGAAGGGGAUGGAAUUUCGCGUGUAGCAGUGAAAUGCGUAGAUAUGCCGAGGACACGAUGGCGAAGGCAAUCCCCUGGGCUGUACUGACGCUCAUGCACGAAAGCGUGGGAGCAAACAGGAUUAGAUACCUGUAGUCACGCCUUAACGAUGUCAACUGGUUGUG